UCUGAAGCAAUCCUACAGCGGGUAUUGUCUGCAUAAUACCGUCAUUUAUAUUAAUUCUUGGGCUUUAAUCUGGUUCAGUGAUCACAUGCCAUUGUUGUGUUGAUGUUAUUUUGCUACCAUUUUAGUAUUAAUGCCAUUUUGGGGCUCCAUGCUAAGGUUGUCAUACUGUCUUUUUACCUAGAGUCAACGGUGGGUGCAUAAACUUGGAAUGUAAAGCCUAUUAUGAAAUUGAUAAGAUUUUACAAACUAUGUAAAAUAGUCUUCAUGAAAUAUAGUUGUACGUUUUAAAGUCAUGAAAUGGUCUUAUUAUUAACAAUAAAAUUCAAAAGCAAAUGCUAAGAUGGGAGAAAUCAUCUGGAAGAUUGCAUUCCUUUUGCUUGAACUUACUUUAACUUGAAGGCUGUGUUUG
This 409-nucleotide unclassified non-coding RNA is filed under the name Hevea brasiliensis (rubber tree). The record is from RNAcentral. Lineage: Eukaryota; Viridiplantae; Streptophyta; Magnoliopsida; Malpighiales; Euphorbiaceae.